RNAcentral lists this ribosomal RNA (358 nucleotides) under Sphaeroderma testaceum. Its description in RNAcentral is "partial 16S ribosomal RNA". The record is from RNAcentral. Lineage: Eukaryota; Metazoa; Arthropoda; Insecta; Coleoptera; Chrysomelidae.
CCKCAMUAUCUUKACUKUGCUAAGGUAGCAUAAUCAUUAGUUUSSSAAUUNGAGACUUGUAUGAAAGGUUNAAUGAGAAAACUCUGUCUCUGUUUAAUUUUAAUAGAAUUUUAUUUUUAAGUAAAAAAGCUUAAUUGAUUUUGAAAGACGAUAAGACCCUAUAGAGUUUAAUUAAUUUAUAAAUAAUUUUAUAUUGGAAAAUAUUUUGAUUUGUUUAGUUUUAAUUUGGUUGGGGUGAUUAAAAAAUAAAUUUAACUUUUUUUAUAUUAAACAUAGAUUUAUGAAUAUUUGAUCCAUUGAUAUUGAUUGUNAGAUUUAAUUACCUUAGGGAUAACAGCGUAAUUUUUUUUGAGAGMUU